ACGCAUCUUAACAUACUUCAAUGGUGAAAACCAACGAGGGCGUAGGUAUACUUCUGGCUUUUUGUUUAACGUAAGUUCUUUUUUCUUCUCUCUCUCUAUCUCUCCAAUAAAUGACAUAACAUCUUAUGCAGGUGCAUUCUUAGGGGAUUUCGGCUUCAUCGAUGUCCUUAUUGGAUCAGGCCCUCUAUUACUGUCUCUGAUCAUAAUGGUGUGUUGUGGUAUUCUUGCUAUGUUUUGUUUUAUUUUCUUAUUUUAGAUUUUUUUUUACACUUGAUUUUUUAAUAGUGGCCAGUAGGCCUCAUGAUGUGUCUCAUUCUCCUAAACCUAUCAUGAGCGCUCACUUAUUCCUAAACCUAUCACGAGCAGAUUGAAAUGAUUCCUGAACACUUCAUUUGGAUGGGGGGAUAGGAAAGGAAAAGUUUGAGGGGUAAGAGCUAUUCCUUGUUUGGGUUUUUAAUUAGGUUGGAAAAGAAAGGAUAACGGCGGAUUAGUUAUCUCUUCGAACUUCAUUUUGUUUUCCCAUCAAAAUUGAGGGAAUAAGAGUUUCAUCUCCCUCAACAUUAUAACCUAAUUUUUAAAUAUGACUAUUCUAUCCUUAGUACUUAUAAUUUUUUCCUAGUCCUUGAAACUUCCAAAUGUGGGAAAUUAUUUGACCUCUCAUUUUUUUUUCAUAUCCCAUCACAUGGAUUUUCUGAUAAAAACUCCCACACAUAAUGGAAGUUACUCUUUUUUUUUUUUUAUUAUUUGUUUUGGCUUGAUCUGAUUUAUGUGAUGGAAUUAUCUGUGUUUAUGUACUUAUCAUUUUAAUUGUUGAUGCAAACCCUUUAAGUUGCUGUCUGUUGGAGCAUAUUGAAAAUUUUAUGGGGUAUGGACUUCUAUGCAAAAUACGUCUGCCUCAUGAGUAGCCAUGCAACUGUGACAAAAAGCAGUUUAUUUAUUUGGUCAGUGGUGAGUGAAUUAUUCUAUAAGGAUUUUUUAACAAUAUGUGAGACACUGAGGUCCAAAAGAGAUUGCAGUGAUGAAUCUCUCAAACAUUAUAUAGAAAACUGCUUUCAUAGACUUGAGUGUAGGCCCUCUUUAGGUAAUGACUACUAGUGCAUUGAAGCACCCCAAAUAUUGAGGCGGCUUCAGCCAUGGAAUUACUCGUGCACAAAUAUGAAAGGUAUACCAAGAGAAUAAUGAGUGAAAAAUGUAGAACAAAAGCGCAAGUUAAAUCAUCUUUGCAGUACUCUGGCGUGAAUGCACAUGAAAUUUGUUAUAUUUAUCAAUAAAAGCUUGGGUGUCCUUUGACAAAUUCCUUAUCAACAGGUGUUCUUUUCUCCACAAAAAAGCAUCCCAGAACCGUGGAUUUGUCGGUAGGUCUUCUUGAGUAUUUGGUAGAUUUGUCAUGCCAAGACUCCAUUAAAGCUUAUUUGGACUUUUGGUUUUGACUCUGAAUUAAAUUUUAUGCUUUUCUUUGGAUGUGUUUUCACCUAUAUAUAUUUCUUUCUGCAGCCAGAAGACUAUUGGUUUAGUGCACCAAAGAAAGGGGUCAUGGUCUUUGCUUUGCCAGGGGAACCUGGUCUGGCAGAGGUGGCUGGAGACUUUAAAGUCCAUUUUCAUGACCGCCAAGGAGAUUUUUACUUUUGGUUAAACACAACAAUGAUGGAAAACAGAAAGGUUUUAAAUACCAAUGAUAUUGAUGGGUUUGACAAGCGGAAACUGCCUUCCCCAGGAUUCCAGGUUGAGGUUGUGCUAGUAGAUUAUAAUGGCGCUGCUCCAACAGGGCCAAACAGUGAAACUGCUGCUGAGAAGUCAAAUGAAGGUUCAAGUGCUGCUCCAGCUCCAGUUGAUGCGAAUGCAGCUGCAGCUGCUCCAAAGCAAAAUAAAGACCAGGGAAAUGAUAAAGAUGAUGUAUUUUCAGACAGUGAGGCAGAGGAAUCUGUUUCUUCAAAACUAAGGAAAGCUCAAGCUGCUUCUGCAGGAGGAGGAACUGCCACCACAGCCACUUCUAGUUCUGAAACUAAUACUAAAACAGAUCAAGUUGCAAGUUUAACACAUGCUACCGAACAAUUUUCUCUUGGAAACACAGGCUUACAACAGGUGCAUGCUGCUAGUCAGCCAAAAAGCGAUGCUGUUGGUGGAGCUGUUUCAAGCCUGGGGGCUAACAACUCAGAGAGUGAGUUCAAAGCAAUGGCUGCUGAUGCUUCUGUUUUCUCUUUUGGAGAUGAAGAUGACUAUGAAAGUGAGUGAUGAAAGAGAAUGCCGAUGCUUUCAUUGAAGGAUCUGUACAUAAAUUGGCUUGCAAGUUAUAGAUGCACCAUUGGUGUUGGUUCAAUCCUUUUUAUUUUUUUUAUUUUUUCUUCUACUUUUUACGUUGUAAAUGUAUGUUUCUGGCUUAUCAGAUGUCUUUGUCAUAGUGGGCUGAAUGAACGAAUCAUUGUUGCAUUAAAUUGUGGUACGAUUUGUUUUGUUACUUACAUUGAUAAGAUGUACAUUAUUGGACUAAUAUUGUACAAUUCUGUUUCUGCAUGUUUUUUCAGACCUAAUAUGUUGAAGUUAAAAC
RNAcentral lists this unclassified non-coding RNA (2545 nucleotides) under Hevea brasiliensis (rubber tree). The record is from RNAcentral. Lineage: Eukaryota; Viridiplantae; Streptophyta; Magnoliopsida; Malpighiales; Euphorbiaceae.